RNAcentral lists this ribosomal RNA (433 nucleotides) under uncultured bacterium. RNAcentral's name for it is "partial 16S ribosomal RNA". It matches the Rfam family "Bacterial small subunit ribosomal RNA", at positions 29 to 507 of the family's 1533-position model. The record is from RNAcentral.
AGCGAACGCUGGCGGCAGGCCUAACACAUGCAAGUCGAACGAACUCUUCGGAGUUAGUGGCGGACGGGUGAGUAACACGUGGGAACGUGCCUUUUGGUUCGGAAUAACUCAGGGAAACUUGUGCUAAUACCGAAUGUGCCCUUCGGGGGAAAGAUUUAUCGCCAUUAGAGCGGCCCGCGUCUGAUUAGCUAGUUGGUGAGGUAACGGCUCACCAAGGCGACGAUCAGUAGCUGGUCUGAGAGGAUGACCAGCCACACUGGGACUGAGACACGGCCCAGACUCCUACGGGAGGCAGCAGUGGGGAAUCUUGCGCAAUGGGCGAAGGCCUGACGCAGCCAUGCCGCGUGAAUGAUGAAGGUCUUAGGAUUGUAAAAUUCUUUCACCGGGGACGAUAAUGACGGUACCCGGAGAAGAAGCCCCGGCUAACUUCGUG